RNAcentral lists this long non-coding RNA (1028 nucleotides) under Volvox carteri. Its description in RNAcentral is "long non-coding RNA (VCAR_LNC003073)". The record is from RNAcentral. Lineage: Eukaryota; Viridiplantae; Chlorophyta; Chlorophyceae; Chlamydomonadales; Volvocaceae.
GUGUGUAGGGAUGUUGAGAGCCUUCAACAUCCGAGUUGUGCUCGAGCUGUGUGUUUUUAGCCGCCGCGCACCACACGUCUCAUCGACAGCAUCAGGCAGCACUCUCCGGAGCCCCCCUGGAGGGGGCGUAUGAGACACGUGCUCGCGUGCACAUGCGCAUCACCAGCAGCGGGUUCUCCGCAGGGACAGAGUCACAUUGCCUAGCUAGUUAGCUCCUAGCUACUUGUUGCCAGGUUUAUAUACAUAUCUAUACCUAGCUAUAUACCUAGGUAUAUGUAUAUACCUAGCUGACCAGCAAGCUAGCUUGCCGGUUGCAUAGCGAUAACUCCAUUUCAACGAUACUUCUGCAGUUUUAAGUACAUCACGCCGCUGCAGGGAAGUACGGCACACAAGGAAAAGCUAGCCAUAUGCAGGCUAGACAGGCAGGCAGGUACGCACGCGGGCAGAAGUCUGUGUGAUGCAGUGCGACGUCAACACGCUGGUGUGCAGGUCAUGAUUUGCGCCGGCGGACAGGUGUGUCCCGGACAAUACGAACAGCUCAGCUCAGGAAACACUGAGAGCAUUGCGCGGUGCGGGGUGCCGCGGCGGAGAGCUGGGCUCUGCUGCGAUGACCGGGGGAGCCGUGGUUAAGGCGGUAAAGGGGGAGGAGCGCCUAGUGACCCUGACACUAGGUGGCGGUUGUAAGGUGGUUGUAGAGGCGGUUAGGUGGGUUUGCGGCGGUUCCGCCUAUGGUAACAGCAAGGCAGAGCCUGGUUUACCUGAUGCGCUGUGUUGUUGCUGUUUGCUGCUGGUGUGGGUCGGACAGUUACGUGUGCCUGUGAUGUUGCGUCUGCGGUUUGCAAAGCUGUGUCCGUAGCAGGACAGCCGAGGACUUGCCGAAUGUCCAGUAGGCAUGAGCACGAGCGGACGCAAGUGGGAGGAGAUACGCGGAAUGAGAACGGCCCCAUGACGCCGGUAAACGGGGUGACGGAAGGCAACAGGCCGAGUCAGUGUGCUGCUUGAGUACACGUCCUACGUGCCGCAGUCGG